This 161-nucleotide long non-coding RNA is filed under the name Struthio camelus australis. Its description in RNAcentral is "lncRNA (ENSSCUG00000011579.1)". Lineage: Eukaryota; Metazoa; Chordata; Aves; Struthioniformes; Struthionidae. The record is from RNAcentral.
UUGUGCCCUUGUCCUUCAGGUGACAGAACUGUGACGUGAUGUAUUCCUCCUUGCGGACAACCUCUGCUGUUGUGCCGCUCUCAAAUAAGCUCCUAUCCAUUGACUUGUUUGCAGAUGCAUUUAAAAUGAAGAACUUCGGUCACCACAAAGUGAAAUUGUAG